Molecule: ribosomal RNA, 468 nt
Filed under: uncultured bacterium
Lineage: Bacteria
Description: partial 16S ribosomal RNA
Rfam family: Bacterial small subunit ribosomal RNA
Source: RNAcentral
GACGAACGCUGGCGGCGUGCUUAACACAUGCAAGUCGAACGGAAAGGCCCUGCUUUUGUGGGGUGCUCGAGUGGCGAACGGGUGAGUAACACGUGAGUAACCUGCCCUUGACUUUGGGAUAACUUCAGGAAACUGGGGCUAAUACCGGAUAGGAGCUCCUGCUGCAUGGUGGGGGUUGGAAAGUUUCGGCGGUUGGGGAUGGACUCGCGGCUUAUCAGCUUGUUGGUGGGGUAGUGGCUUACCAAGGCUUUGACGGGUAGCCGGCCUGAGAGGGUGACCGGUCACAUUGGGACUGAGAUACGGCCCAGACUCCUACGGGAGGCAGCAGUGGGGAAUAUUGCACAAUGGGCGGAAGCCUGAUGCAGCAAGGCCGCGUGCGGGAUGACGGCCUUCGGGUUGUAAACCGCUUUCGCCUGUGACGAAGCGUGAGUGACGGUAAUGGGUAAAGAAGCACCGGCUAACUACGUG